AGGUAUUGGGACUACUGCUGCCUUCCCAUCCUCAAGGGCCAGUGGGAACUCUAAUAUUGGGUAACAUGGAAACUCUUGAGAGUUUGGUUGGCGGCAUCUAUAUACCAUAGAAACAGAGCCUGGGAAAGCAGAACAGUGAGACCCAAGAGAAAUGUUCCUGCCUAUACUUGAUUGGUUGUCACAGAAUUCCGUGGACUUUAACCAGUGAUGCGCUGAUUUUGUCAUUUGUACCAGCUAACUCAUCUGGGAGGCAACAAAACAAUAUUCUCCUGAGGUUAAUGUGGACGAAGAACUAGAUUUCAUGUAAAAAGAGUUUAUUCCUUCUAUUUGAG
RNAcentral lists this long non-coding RNA (332 nucleotides) under Piliocolobus tephrosceles (Ugandan red Colobus). RNAcentral describes it as "lncRNA (ENSPTEG00000038955.1)". Lineage: Eukaryota; Metazoa; Chordata; Mammalia; Primates; Cercopithecidae. The record is from RNAcentral.